This 449-nucleotide ribosomal RNA is filed under the name Eubranchus sp. n. LLC-2017. Its description in RNAcentral is "partial 16S ribosomal RNA". It matches the Rfam family "Bacterial large subunit ribosomal RNA", at positions 1829 to 2608 of the family's 2925-position model. Lineage: Eukaryota; Metazoa; Mollusca; Gastropoda; Nudibranchia; Eubranchidae. The record is from RNAcentral.
AGCCAGAGGAAGAUAUUUUUGGUUUAACCUGCCCAAUGUAUUAUUGUAUGAAUGGCCGCGGUACCCUGACCGUGCUAAGGUAGCGUAAUCAGUUGGCUUUUAAAUGGAGUCAGGUAUGAAUGGGAUAACCGGGCUUAGCUGUCUCAAAGACAUUUAUUUGAAUUUACUGUUCAAGUGAAAAAGCUUGACGUAAGAAAAGGGACGAGAAGACCCUUAGAAUUUUGUUUAAAGAGGAUUAUUUCCUCUAUGAUUUUGUUGGGGCGACAGAGAAAUAAUUAAAACUUUCUUUAAAUUAAUCAGUCGGAAUUUUCAGGUUAGGAUAAAUUACCUGAGGGAUAACAGCAUAAUUUUAUAAAUAAGUUUGUGACCUCGAUGUUGGACUAGGAAGCUAAUGGGUUAGCUGCUCAUUGUGCGGAUUCUGUUCGAAUUUUAACUCCUACGUGAUCUGA